This 98-nucleotide non-coding RNA is filed under the name Neobacillus jeddahensis. Its description in RNAcentral is "Purine riboswitch". It matches the Rfam family "Purine riboswitch aptamer". From Rfam's summary of the family: Riboswitches are metabolite binding domains within certain messenger RNAs that serve as precision sensors for their corresponding targets. The record is from RNAcentral. Lineage: Bacteria; Bacillati; Bacillota; Bacilli; Caryophanales; Bacillaceae.
UUGUUAUAUAGAAUUCCUUGUAUAAUAUCAGUGGAAAUGGUCUGAUAGUAUCUACCUGGCAGCCGCUUAAAGUGCCGGACUACAAGGAAGUGUGAAAA